CGGAGGGUGCAAGCGUUAUCCGGAUUUACUGGGUUUAAAGGGUGUGUAGGCGGACUUUUAAGUCAGCGGUGAAAUCUCCGGGCUCAACCCGGAAACUGCCAUUGAUACUAUUGGUCUUGAAUGUUGUUGAGGUGGGCGGAACGGGUCAUGUAGCGGUGAAAUGCAUAGAUAUGACCCGGAACACCGAUUGCGAAGGCAGCCCACUAAGCAACGAUUGACGCUGAGGCACGAAAGCGUGGGGAUCAAACAGGAUUAGAUACCCUGGUAGUCCACGCCCUAAACGAUGAUUACUCGACGUUGGCGAUACACUGAUCAGCGUCCAAGCGAAAGCAUUAAGUAAUCCACCUGGGAAGUACGUUCGCGAGAAUG
Molecule: ribosomal RNA, 369 nt
Filed under: uncultured organism
Description: bacterial SSU rRNA
Rfam family: Bacterial small subunit ribosomal RNA
Source: RNAcentral